Molecule: ribosomal RNA, 518 nt
Filed under: uncultured bacterium
Lineage: Bacteria
Description: bacterial SSU rRNA
Rfam family: Bacterial small subunit ribosomal RNA
Source: RNAcentral
UGGGGAAUCUUGCACAAUGGGCGAAAGCCUGAUGCAGCAACGCCGCGUGCGGGAAGACAGCCCUAGGGUUGUAAACCGCUUUCAGCAGGGAAGAAACUGACGGUACCUGCAGAAGAAGAUGCGGCCAACUACGUGCCAGCAGCCGCGGUGACACGUAGGCAUCAAGCGUUAUCCGGAUUUAUUGGGCGUAAAGAGCUCGUAGGCGGUUCGGUAAGUCGGGUGUGAAAACUCUGGGCUCAACCCAGAGAGGCCACUCGAUACUGCUGUGACUAGAGUGCGGUAGGGGAGCGGGGAAUUCCUGGUGUAGCGGUGAAAUGCGCAGAUAUCAGGAGGAACACCAGUGGCGAAGGCGGCUACCUGGACCGGUUCUGACGCUGAGGCGCGAAAGCGUGGGGAGCAAACAGGAUUAGAUACCCUGGUAGUCCACGCUGUAAACGAUGGGUGCUCGGUGUUGCGGGUGUUGACCCCUGCAAUGCCUUAGCUAACGCGUUAAGCACCCCGCCUGGGAGUACGGUCGC